This 1029-nucleotide ribosomal RNA is filed under the name uncultured archaeon. Its description in RNAcentral is "partial 16S ribosomal RNA". It matches the Rfam family "Archaeal small subunit ribosomal RNA", at positions 322 to 1348 of the family's 1478-position model. The record is from RNAcentral.
CCUACGGGAGGCAGCAGGCGCGAAACCUCCGCAAUGUGAGAAAUCGCGACGGGGGGAUCCCAAGUGCCAUUCUUAACGGGAUGGCUUUUCAUUAGUGUAAAGAGCUUUUGGAAUAAGAGCUGGGCAAGACCGGUGCCAGCCGCCGCGGUAACACCGGCAGCUCUAGUGGUAACAAUUUUUAUUGGGCCUAAAGCGUCCGUAGCCGGUUUAAUAAGUCUCUGGUGAAAUCCUGUAGCUUAACUGUGGGAAUUGCUGGAGAUACUAUUAGACUUGAGACCGGGAGAGGUUAGAGGUACUCCCAGGGUAGAGGUGAAAUUCUGUAAUCCUGGGAGGACCGCCUGUUGCGAAGGCGUCUAACUGGAACGGUUCUGACGGUGAGGGACGAAAGUUAGGGGCGCGAACCGGAUUAGAUACCCGGGUAGUCCUAACUGUAAACGAUGCGGACUUGGUGUUGGGGUGGCUKUGAGCUGCUUCASUGCCGRARGGAAGCUGUUAAGUCCGCCGCCUGGGAAGUACGGUCGCAAGACUGAAACUUAAAGGAAUUGGNGGGGGAGCACCACAACGCGUGGAGCSUGCGGUUUAAUUGGAUUCAACGCCGGACAUCUCACCAGAGGCGACAGCUGUAUGAUAGCCAGGUUGAUGACUUUGCUUGACUAGCUGAGAGGAGGUGCAUGGCCGCCGUCAGCUCGUACCGUGAGGCGUCCUGUWAAGUCAGGCAACGUGCGAGACCCACGCCCUUAKUUUMCMRSSGDUYCYUUUUUKGWURCSKGSSRYACUAAGDGRACSGSCUAYGRYAWAUAGKAGGAAGKAGUGGACGACGGUAGGUCCGUAUGCCCCGAAUCCUCUGGGCAACACGCGGGCUACAAUGGCUGAGACAAUGGGUUCCGACACCGAAAGGUGGAGGUAAUCCUCUAAACUUAGUCGUAGUUCGGAUUGAGGACUGUAACUCGUUCUCAUGAAGCUGGAAUGCGUAGUAAUCGCGUAUCACUAUUGCGCGGUGAAUACGUCCCUGCUCCUUGCACACACCGC